RNAcentral lists this transfer RNA (72 nucleotides) under Stegodyphus mimosarum. It matches the Rfam family "tRNA". From Rfam's summary of the family: Transfer RNA (tRNA) molecules are approximately 80 nucleotides in length. Their secondary structure includes four short double-helical elements and three loops (D, anti-codon, and T loops). Further hydrogen bonds mediate the characteristic L-shaped molecular structure. tRNAs have two regions of fundamental functional importance: the anti-codon, which is responsible for specific mRNA codon recognition, and the 3' end, to which the tRNAs corresponding amino acid is attached (by aminoacyl-tRNA synthetases). tRNAs cope with the degeneracy of the genetic code in two manners: having more than one tRNA (with a specific anti-codon) for a particular amino acid; and 'wobble' base-pairing, i.e. permitting non-standard base-pairing at the 3rd anti-codon position. Lineage: Eukaryota; Metazoa; Arthropoda; Arachnida; Araneae; Eresidae. The record is from Rfam by way of RNAcentral.
GCCUUCGUGGUGUAACGGUUAGCAAACUCGGCGAAUAUUCGAGAGGUCCAGGUUCGAGUCCCGGCCAGGGCA